Molecule: ribosomal RNA, 327 nt
Filed under: Triticum aestivum (bread wheat)
Lineage: Eukaryota; Viridiplantae; Streptophyta; Magnoliopsida; Poales; Poaceae
Description: partial small subunit ribosomal RNA
Source: RNAcentral
AUGCCCGAUGGACGGAGAGAUGCUGCACACAGACGUGCAUGUGCUCAUCAUAGUACCGUUGGACACGGUCACGUACUUCCUUGUCUUGCAACAGCCGAUGGAUGCAUCAGCUCGGCUGGCAUUUUGCGGGGGAUUUUGAUUCAUGUCAUGUCAGUCCAUAUUCUGUUUUUCUUUUCUUUCUAUUCUCAAGUUACCCAUAUUCUUAUCGUUAUUCAGGUGAGGUCCAGAAGGGCCGGGGCGCAUGUGCGUGACUUGAGUUCGGUGGUUUCGGUAGGGACAGCUCAUGCGUGUGUGCAUACGCGCAAAUCUGGAUCCUGUCCUAGCUAG